Molecule: long non-coding RNA, 958 nt
Filed under: Mytilus galloprovincialis (Mediterranean mussel)
Lineage: Eukaryota; Metazoa; Mollusca; Bivalvia; Mytilida; Mytilidae
Source: RNAcentral
CGCAGCUAUGAGAUGCUGCAAUAGUCAUAAUAUUUGUUGGGUUUGUAAAGGGGAAAUCGGAAAAUCAUAUAUGUAUAUACUUACCAAAAAACCGAGAACCAUAUGAGCCCCAGAGUAUCGAAUCUGGCAACUUGAAGACACUUUAGUUCCCCAAGACAGUUUUGAUUUUCAGUUUCCAUUUUAAAACGUUACUAGUAUCAGAAUUUGAAUGACCAUCCGUACUAUGAAUUUUAAGUAGUUGAAUUGAUGGUUUAAUAUCAGGUUUUCAUGCAGGAUGGCCACAGGCACUGAACGGUAAGCAACCAACAAUCAAUCAAUCAAACUUGCAGGUUUGAGUGCCUGACCGUCUAGCCCAAGUAUUUGUUCAAAUCUACCUGAGGAAUUCUCAUCUAAAACCUUGUCUUUGAUCAACCACAGGUGUUUUUACACAUGUAUGUUUUUUUUUUUUUUUUUUUUUUUUUUUUUUUUUUUUUUUUUGCUCACCUAUCAGGGUUCUUCCAUAGGUUUCAAGAUUUUAACUGUCUGGGUUCUGGAUAUUGCAUGUUUUCAACUGUCAGGGUUAUACCACAUUUUCAGAUUUUACCUGUAUGGAUUUAUCACAGGUUCACAUAUAGUUUUAACCUGUUAAGGUUGGACCAAAUGUUUAAGACAUGAUACUGCUUUAAGUUUUAUAUUUCAGCAGGAACCUGGGACUUUUAUAGUAUAAUAGUCCCAGCUGGUAUGCUGUUUAUGGUUCUCAGGAAAUGAUAGUAGGUGAAAUUGUAACUAUAAAUCCGCUUAGAAGUGCUAGAUAACUUGUCAGUCCUUUGAAGUGAACUCAACUUAUGGUAUCUGGCAGAUGCAGCUGUGCAGGAUUCAACAUUCAUAUAUUUCCAAUAUUAGUGAACAUUGGAACGUUAAGCAACCAACAAUCAAUCAAUCAAUCCAGUGAACAUUGGGACCUUAAGCAACAAGCAAU